GUUCGAUCCCCAGGCCUUGUCAGGGCGUAUGCUGGUGGUAACCAAUCGAUGUGUCUCUCUCACAUUGAUGUCUCUCUCUCUCCUCCUCCUCUACU
Molecule: long non-coding RNA, 95 nt
Organism: Myotis davidii
Lineage: Eukaryota; Metazoa; Chordata; Mammalia; Chiroptera; Vespertilionidae
Exons: 3
Source: RefSeq, a predicted model, not a curated record